GUUUUGAUUAGAGUUGCCAUGACAAUGGGAAACACCUAAAAAAGAUCUAUGAAAUGUUAUAUCGGCAUCAAGCCAAGAAGUUAAGCCAAAUCCUGUGCUCUGGUUAUUCCUGUGAGUCAGUGCCUUUCAUCACAGCAUUGCUAAAAGAAGGAUUUGCUCGUCUGACUUUGAAGAUUUGGGAGAAACAGAGCACCCUGAUGGACCAGCUGCCUGAAGGGGACAGGUGGAUUUUAUCCAUUCAGGACAGCAGUGCAGGGUACAAAACACAGCCAGGGAGGGGCAUCAUCUCCUGCUUCUCCUCCUGUCUCCACCCCACCUAACAGCUCAGCAGCAGAAAGGACAGGCUUGUGUUCAAAGAGAAUAAUGAUGGCUGAUUUGUGGGAUAGCUGUCAUAUUAUUGUCUGACGCUCGAAAAAGAGAAUUUGAAGACUGAGAUAUUUAAAGACAGUAACAAGUCACCCUGGGGAGAAUUCCCACCUGCCUAUGGCAGGAGCUACUGCUUGGGAAACGUGCUGCCAGGUCCAUGAGUGAGGCCACAAAGGUGAAUUUGACCCUGCUCCCUCCUUCCCAUGGAGAAGAAGCUCAGGGGCACCUUCAGCUCUCCUGUCUGUACCUCCCACGGAAAUGCUUCCAGAAAUGGGAGGCUCAGUCUUUCAGGAUCUUGGAAAGUCUCUGUAUUGCUGGGAGGCAUUGACCCACGCUCUUGCAUGGCCAUGCAGAUGAAUCCAGCUGUGCAGCCAAGGGAUGAGCCCAGGAAUGGACCUGGGGAUGCAGUGGGGAAACACCUGCAGGGUGCACCCAGGAGUGCAUCCCUGGCUUUUUACCUAAGCUGAACACACACCUUUUGUCCAGCACUGGAACAGGCUGCCCAGGAAAGAGGUGGAGUCACCAUCCCUAGAAAUGUUCAAAACCCUUGGCAGAGUUAGAUAAAUUGUUGGACUUGAUGAUCUUUUCCAACCUUACUGGUUCUCUCCUAGAAUCUUACAUAGCCAUUAACCAUCACAGGGGCUGAUUUUUCAAAUGUGACAAAUCACAAAAGAACUGCAUGAAACUCACUAUAAUCACACUUCUGUGGCUCAACAAAUCACACCAGGCUUCUCCAAGUCCCCAGCAGCCAUUCCCCACCCAUGAAGUAGACCUGUGCUAGCGAGGCAGAGCUCAUCAGCAGCAUGGGGCUGUCACUGGCUGCUCUACCCAGGUCUGGAGAUGGGCAGCAGCUGCUCCAGACACCUGUGCUGGAAGCUGGGUAAGAACUGGGAGAGAAGUCCAGCACUGGCAGAGACUCUGGGUCUCCUCUGCAGAGGAACAGUGACAGAUUUCACCUCCUGGCUGCUUGUGUGGAUAAGGGAGAGAGGGGGUGGCCAGACGGGUCUAUUGAGUAUUUUAUGCCACUGAGGCCAAAGGAAUUAGCGUGGGGGCUGGGAGGGAAAAGCUUGACUCAAGCUUUCACAGACAUAUAUCCACACAAUUAAGGUCAGGGGCUUAUGGCAGUCAGUUCUAUUUCUAUUUGUUUAUUUAUUUGUUUUCUUAAUGGCUUGGUUUCAGUGCUGGAUGGCUGCAUUUGAGCCCUGCAAGCUGCUGAUUUUGCAAUCCUCUCUCUCUGGUGAAAGUACUUUGUUUAUAUUACCAGGCAUGUGUUAUUUCAAUUUUUGUUUAUAUCUCCUGUAUCAAUCAGUGAAACAGUCUGAAGAAACAAGGCCAGGCCAAGGAGAAACACGCAGGUUUUGUUUGGACUGAGAUUCAGCAUUCCUGAAAAUUGGCUGCACCUCAGAAAAACUCUGCAAGUAAUGGUAUUUACUGCUCCCCUCCUUGCAAACAGAGCUGAAACCCAGGUUUUCCCACCAGUGACUUGAUGGGGAAGGUAGAGCUGAUUAACCCCUUGAUUCCCUCACCUUAUGAACUCUUUGGAUGGUAAAAAAAAUCCUUUUCUGGGACAAGCCUCAGGAUGGACUUGGCCACCCCAUUGAUCUCUGUCAUCCGUGCUGAGGGCUGGUGCUCCGUACCUCACUAACAGGACAGGGGCAUCCAUGGCAGAAACCAGACCUGGGAACAGAUCUGUGUGCAUCUGCUUUUACCCUCUCCCCCUGCCUAGCACAGGAACAAAUCGUGCCUGCUCAGUCUCUGCUGCCAGGGCUCUGCACAAGCCGUGGGAUCAGAGCAUGGGCACCACGAAGGCUCAGCCCUGAGCCCAUGGCGAGCACCGGGAUGGGAGGGGGCCAAGCCUGGAAGAUGGGCUGCUCACCCCCAGCUGCUGGGGCUGGCAGGGGACCUCUGGGUUUAGCUUAACCUCCCUGGCUGUCAGGGCUGUGAUCUGACCUGCAGGCAGCCAGGGGGAGAGGAAAGGAGUGGGGUCACUGCCACCGAGGACCCGAGCUGUAUUUUCAUUUUGGACUUGAGGUUGUCGCCUACUUGAAUCAAAACAAGAGUCUUCCAAAAAGCAAACAUGGGGAGGAGGAAAAGAGUGCCAGCCUACAAUUGCUGGAUAGGUCAAUGUGACAGCUCAAGGAUUUACAGAUGAAAGCUUAAGGACGCAGUGCAUACAUUUGUGCCUGAGAUGAAUGUAAAAGGACAUAAAUACCAGUUAAAAUGUACUUUAAGAAAAAAAACCCAACACACUUGUACUCCAGUCAUUACAAUUCAAACAAAGCAAUUGUCAAUUCCCUAGCAAUUUACAUUUAAAUGCACAAUAUAAUUCUCAUGCUAAAUUGUCUAUUUCCAGCGUAGGCCUUGCUCAGAGUGUGUCUGGGAGGGGGAAGAGGAAGGCUGGAGCUGGACUUGUGGAUAGCCACUGGUCUGGGGGAGCUGUGCUGAGCAGCUGAGCUGAGUGACCUCUUUUUCUGGUUUCCCUCAAACAAACGGGGACACUCAUUUUUCAGCAGAGAAACCCAGAAACAUUUUCACCUCAAAAGCACAGAGGAGAUGGGUAGAUCUGGAAAAACAGGAUCAAGAUCAAAAUGUUCAUGGGUAGCAGGGCCUUAAUAUAACAUUUUUACACACAAGCAGGUCCCUCAUCAGGCAGAAAGGUCUUGUCCUAUUCCAUGCUCAAAACCAAGCCCUCUCCCAGAACUCUUCUUAUUGCAACAUAUUUCUGCUAACAAGAUAAGACUUGCUGUAACAUCAGCCUGCCUACACGUCAUCCACUGCCUGCUUCCCAUCUGUUAGUCUUGAUAUUUCCUUAAUCUCUUUCUCUCACACAGCUCCAUGAAUAGUUCCCCUCUGUAGCACAGGGAGUGAAAUUGGAGAAUGCAGCAUUCCUCUCUGGGAAAGGAAUAUAUUGGUUUGAAAUGAGAAGCUUAAAGGCCCAGGCAGGUUGGCUGUUCCCUGAGACAGCAGAGAGAAAUGCAAUGAGAAAAUGGAGGGAGAGCUGAAUUUGAAGUGUCUGUUCUUUAAUUAUAAAUGUUCUUCCUCCAAACAGCUUUUCUUAACAGCUGGUCAUCAAUUACACAGAGUUACUGAGGUUUUCAGACAGGAGAUCAAUAAAUGGGAUUUUUUUUUUUUUUUGGCCAGGAGAAACCAUUACAUAAUGGCUGUGUUUCUUCCCUCUGCUUGCCAAGCUUUCAGGAGCUGGCAGGCAUUCAAGACAGUGAGGCUAUUCUUAGAUGAGGGGCACAGCAUCAAACUCAGCAGCAGCAGCAGCAGCGUGGUCUCCAAUGCCUGGAGCCCAGGAGGGGAUUUGGGGAGGGUCAAUAUGGGACAGGACACAUCAGCCCCACCCACCCUGAGAAGGGCACAGAGCUGGAUGUGACUUCUGGAGGAUGUAUGGUAAUAAAUCAACAGCCUCAGUGCAGCAGCGUGUCUGAGAUGCUUUUAAAAACAUGCCAGAUCUAAAUAAAACCAGACCAGACAGUGACAGGGGAAGAUGGACAGCCUUCCAGAGCUAUCUACAGCUUCACAGAGGAACCUCAGGAUGUGAGGCAGAAUAAAUAUACCUGUAGAGUAGCAACUUGAGAACUGUACACCUUUCUUGUCUGGUUUAUAUAUGUUAUUUGCAGUGAAAUCGAGGCUAUCUGCACAAAAAAAAAGGGAGAGCUGCUUUUUCACAGCCUGCAACCUUUGCUGCGUUUUCCAUAUAAAUCAGGCUGCUGCUGUUUGCUCUUAAUGGAGGAUCUCAUCUGUGUCUUUGCAGAUGACCUGUCUCACACAGACAUGACACAUAAGCAUUUCCAGAGACAUUUCUGUGACCUGCUAUCAUGCCAUAAACCAUCUGGCUACCUCUAUAGUAGCAGAGCUUAAAAACAAGGCCACUCCCUUUGCAAUCUGUGGCUUACAAAUAAAACAGAAUUCUGUGGAAGGGUUGUGCUGCCACAACCUGAGGUUGUCACGUGCCAGCCUGGAGCUGCAGCAGCGUGUUCCAGCCACAGCCAGCACUACAUAAUAGAUUUGUCAGCUCCUCCUGGCACAAAGCUGCUGUAUGGGAUGGUGCACAUCUAUCAGGUGAGAGCAAGCCAGGUCAGGCUCGUUAGGUUAUGCUUGGUAGAAACAUAAACCUAAGAAAAAGCAAAUUUUCACCUGCCAAGGGCUGAGCAGGGGAAAUGCACCUUUUCCACUUCUGGAGGUCAUCAGUAUCAAGAAGGGAGGGCAGGACCAGGGUGGGCUGAGAACCAGCCUGAAACCACUCAUGUGAGUGCCUCUCAUGUGAGCAUCAGCAGCGAGAUCCCCGCCAGGGUGGUCCUUGGAGGUGUUCAGCAAAGCAAUGCAAGAACCAGAAAAAGAAACCCCAAAUAUUUUCAUGGCCCAAACAGUACGUGAGACUGUUCAAGCUGCCAGAAAGGCCUGGUGCUCUGGGGAGAAAUGAAAAGAUGUAUUUCAAAGCACAGCAAUAAAAGCACAUUACAGCACCUGAGCCAAAACGUGCUCUCAGUUCACCUUCCAGUGUAAGAUCCAGAACAAGGCUUGGCUGACAUCCACACGUAUAAAGGUUUGGUCUCAGAAAGAAGGACUUCCAAGGCUGUUUCCCAGUACAACAAGCUGGGGCACAAAGGCAUUUGUGGUGUUGGCUUUCCCCACACCCCAGGGGUCUUGCUGUGAUAGUUCCAGGCAUUACAUAGCCGCAGAUUUUCUUGUCUGACCUGUGAGCAAAGCAAGUAUAAUUCAGUCAUCUUGGAUCUGACAGCUCUUCUACCUGCCUCUGCAGAUGAUUUCCUUUAAAAUAAGUAUGGCUUCUACUGCCAGGUAGUCAGUGAAUCCUGUUUGCAAGCAAGAUGACCAACAACAAAACCCCUUGAAGAAAACUAGCCUAAUGUUAGAAAUAGCCCCUCAAGCAAAGG
Long non-coding RNA from Parus major (Great Tit), 5267 nucleotides. RefSeq lists it as uncharacterized. The record is from RefSeq and is a predicted model, not a curated record. Lineage: Eukaryota; Metazoa; Chordata; Aves; Passeriformes; Paridae. The transcript is spliced from 3 exons.